Molecule: ribosomal RNA, 125 nt
Filed under: uncultured Staphylococcus sp.
Lineage: Bacteria; Bacillati; Bacillota; Bacilli; Caryophanales; Staphylococcaceae
Description: partial 16S ribosomal RNA
Rfam family: Bacterial small subunit ribosomal RNA
Source: RNAcentral
CGUGAGUGAUGAAGGUCUUCGGAUCGUAAAACUCUGUUAUUAGGGAAGAACAAAUGUGUAAGUAACUGUGCACGUCUUGACGGUACCUAAUCAGAAAGCCACGCUAACUACGUGCCAGCAGCCGC